Molecule: ribosomal RNA, 380 nt
Filed under: uncultured bacterium
Lineage: Bacteria
Description: bacterial SSU rRNA
Rfam family: Bacterial small subunit ribosomal RNA
Source: RNAcentral
AUUGAACGCUGGCGGCAUGCCUUACACAUGCAAGUCGAACGGCAGCGCGGGGCAACCUGGCGGCGAGUGGCGAACGGGUGAGUAACAUAUCGGAACAUACCCUAGAGUGGGGAUAACGUAGCGAAAGUUACGCUAAUACCGCAUACGCACUAAGGUGGAAAGUGGGGGAUCUUCGGACCUCAUGCUCAUGGAGUGGCCGAUAUCUGAUUAGCUAGUUGGUGAGGUAAAGGCUCACCAAGGCGACGAUCAGUAGCUGGUUUGAGAGAACGACCAGCCACACUGGAACUGAGACACGGUCCAGACUCCUACGGAGGCAGCAGUGGGGAAUUUUGGACAAUGGGGGCAACCCUGAUCCAGCAAUGCCGCGUGAGUGAAGAAGG